This 1624-nucleotide long non-coding RNA is filed under the name Marmota monax (woodchuck). The record is from RNAcentral. Lineage: Eukaryota; Metazoa; Chordata; Mammalia; Rodentia; Sciuridae.
CUUUGCCUAUAAGGUGAGUCUCUUGGAGACAAAAUAUUGCUGGGUCUUAUUUUUAAUCCAAUCUGCCGGUCUAUGACUUUUGAUUGAUGAGUUUAGGCCAUUUACACUCAAAGUUAUUGAUAUAUGAUUUGUAUUCCCAGUCAUUUUGGUUUACUUAUGGUUUUUAAUUUUAAUUGGUUUCUCCUUUGAUUGACUAUUCCUUUAGUGUAGUUCCUCCCCUUCCUGGUUUUCACUGUUACUUUUCAUUUUAUCUUCAUGGAAAAUUUUGUUGAGAAUGUUCUGUAGUGCCGGCUUUCUAGUUGUGAAUUCUUUUAACUUUCGUUCAUCAUGGAAGGUUUUUAUUUCCUCUUCAAAUCUGAAGCUUAAUUUUUCUGGGUAAAGUAUUCUUGGUUGGCAUCCAUUUUCUUUCAGAGCUUAGUAUAUAUUAUUCCAAGACCUCCUAGCUUUGAGAGUCUGAGUUGAGAAAACAGCCGAAAUCCAAAUUGGUCUCCCUCUAAAUGUAACCUGACAUUUUUCUCUGGCAGCCUUUAAAAUUCUAUCCUUAUUCUGUAUGCUAAGCAUUUUCAUGAUAAUGUGCCUUGGUGUGGGUCUGUUGUAAUUUUGUAUAUUUAAGGUCCUGUAAGCCUCCUGUAUUUGAUUUUCCUUUUCAUUCUUUAGGUUUGGGAAAUUUUCUGACAUAACUUCAUUGAAAAGUGCAUUCCUUUGGUUUAUAUCUCUACACCUUUAUCUAUCCUGAUAAAUCUUAAAUUUGGUCCUUUCAUUUUAUCCCAUAUUUCUUGGAAGCUCUUUUCAUGUCUCUUAACAUCUUUUCUCCAUGGUUAACUUUAUUUUCAAGAUUAUAUGUUUUUUCUUCAUUGCCUGAAAUCCUGUCUUCCAAGUGGUCUAGUCUGUUGGUGAUGCUUUCUAUUGAAUUUUUAUUUUGUUUUAUUGAUUCCUUUAUUUCAAGGACUUCUUCUUGAUUUCUUUUCAGAAUCUCUAGCUCUUUAUGAAAGUAAUCUUUCACCUCCUAAAUUUUCUCUCUGAUUUCACUCCUUACAUUGACCUUUACCUUGUGGGACAUUUUAACUAUAUACAUUUAAACUCCUUCUCUGACAUUUCUCCCACUAUGGUGGCAAUGGAUUCUGUUAUUGGGGCAUCUUGGAUUGUUUGGGGCAUUUCAUUCCCUUGUUUUUUUCAUGUUUUGUGUAUCUGCCCACUAGCAGUGUGGAUCUGAGGCAAUGCAGUUUUCUACCCUGUAGACUUAGAGUGUCCCAAAAGGUUUCCAGUACUGUGACAUUAAGGGGAAGACAAAUAAUAGCAGCAAGCAAUGCAAAUAAUAUACAGCCUUAAAUCAAAUAUCUCCUACUAAGAUACCUAUAGUUUUGUCACAAUAAACAGAAAUAAUAUGUUCAGUUAUUGCCUACAAUGAAAACAGUAAGUUUGCAAAAAAGUAUACAAUUUUAAAUAGGAGACAAAGAGAAAACAGGAAUGGUGUAGGAAGUGAUGUUUAUGAGGAAGGAGGAGAGAAGACAAAAGUAAAACUUAAAGGAAGAGUGAAAGAGGGAAUAAUAGAGGUUGGCUGGUAGCAGGAGAAAAGAGAAAGAGAAUCAUCGGAAACAGAUAAGCGAGAGAAGAAAUAUAAAGU